AAUGCGAUAAGUAGUGUGAAUUGCAGAAUUCAGUGAAUCAUCGAAUCUUUGAACGCACAUUGCGCCCCUUGGUAUUCCAUGGGGCAUGCCUGUUCGAGCGUCAUUUGUACCUUCAAGCUUUGCUUGGUGUUGGGUGUUUGUCUCGCCUCCGCGCGUAGACUCGCCUCAAAACAAUUGGCAGCCGGCGUAUUGUUUUCGGAGCGCAGUACAUCUCGCGCUUUGCACUCAUAACGACGACGUCCAAAAGUACAUUUUUACACUCUUGACCUCGGAUCAGGUAGGGAUACCCGCUGAACUUAAGC
Molecule: unclassified non-coding RNA, 302 nt
Filed under: plant metagenome
Description: partial contains 5.8S ribosomal RNA, internal transcribed spacer 2, and large subunit ribosomal RNA
Rfam family: 5.8S ribosomal RNA (bases 1-103)
Source: RNAcentral